This 193-nucleotide unclassified non-coding RNA is filed under the name soil metagenome. Its description in RNAcentral is "partial contains 5.8S ribosomal RNA, internal transcribed spacer 2, and large subunit ribosomal RNA". The record is from RNAcentral.
AACGCACGAGACCUGCGGACCUGCGGAGGGAUCAUUACCGAGUUAUCCAACUCCCAACCCCUGUGAAUUAUACCUUUAAUUGUUGCUUCGGCGGGACUUCGCGCCCGCCGGGGACCCAAACCUUCUGAAUUUUUUAAUAAGUAUCUUCUGAGUGGUUAAAAAAAUGAAUCAAAACUUUCAGCAACGGAUCUCU